GAUAAUCCUGAUAUUCUACCGGCAGGACGUCAGUAGAAUUUCCUUCGGUUUCAGCUUGUGUGUGUUGUUUGCUUUUGAGUCAGGUGAGUGGAUAAUUUUCCAUAUGCAUGAGAAAUAUUAUAAAUAUUUGAUUUGUUAAUAUGAAUUGGAUCAUGCUUCUUGAUAAUAUAUAUGCUGAUUAUUAUCCUUGAUAUGAUAAAGCAUGAUCAAUUAUUGAAUCUGAUUUCUUGAUAUGAACCAAUAUGAUUUGACUUCUGAAUUGAUAGCUCCUCAUUUGAUGGAUGUCAUGAGUUGAGCUUUGAGAUAUGAAUAUGUUUGUUUGAUUAUGAUUAUGAACCUAUGGUAUGUCAGUCAGAAUACCCAUGCUAACAGGGUAGUGUUAGUCUUUGUGCACAUCGUAUCUGAACCCUAGUUGGUCGGGGGAGUCACCAACCUGUGUGGACUGAUCAUCCCACAGUACGGAGCCUCAUGCUCAUUGCAUUUUGAUUUUCUGACAAGUUUUACCAUAUGAUAUUCUUGUUAUGGCCUAUUUUGAUAAACCUUCGUAUAAGAACUAAAGCCAUACUUGUAUAUAUAUUUCUCAUUGUUAUAUUACCUCGUGUGUGUAUAUUGAACGUUAUCUACUCACUGAGUUGUUGAACUCACCCUCUCAUUAUUUAUCCUUUUCAGGCUUAUAGCUUGAUAGCAGGUUACUUUUGUUGAACCUUUCGAACCUGCCUUUUUUGUUGUAAUUUGUACCUUCCUUUUGUGUCAAGUUAGUGCUCCAAAACUAUGAAAUUAUUAACUCUUGUAUUAAGACAAUCGAAUUAUAUUAUGAAGUGGUUUGUUGUUAAUUAUGCGUUAAACUCUGAUUGAGUUGUUUAAAGGAUUGUAUGUAAGUUUGGGUUCGCAUAGGCUUGGAACCUUG
This 907-nucleotide long non-coding RNA is filed under the name Populus tremula. Its description in RNAcentral is "long non-coding RNA (PTRE_LNC001621)". Lineage: Eukaryota; Viridiplantae; Streptophyta; Magnoliopsida; Malpighiales; Salicaceae. The record is from RNAcentral.